RNAcentral lists this ribosomal RNA (373 nucleotides) under uncultured bacterium. RNAcentral's name for it is "bacterial SSU rRNA". It matches the Rfam family "Bacterial small subunit ribosomal RNA", at positions 527 to 898 of the family's 1533-position model. The record is from RNAcentral.
AGAGGUGGCAAGCGUUGUUCGGAAUUACUGGGCGUAAAGGGCGCGUAGGCGGCCUUGUCAGUCAGACGUGAAAUCCCCAGGCUUAACUUGGGAACUGCGUCUGAUACUACAAGGCUGGAGUUCGGGAGAGGGAUGUGGAAUUCCAGGUGUAGCGGUGAAAUGCGUAGAUAUCUGGAGGAACACCGGUGGCGAAGGCGGCAUCCUGGACCGAAACUGACGCUGAUGCGCGAAAGCCAGGGGAGCAAACGGGAUUAGAUACCCCGGUAGUCCUGGCCCUAAACGAUGAGUGCUUGGUGUGGCGGGUAUCGAUCCCUGCCGUGCCGAAGCUAACGCAUUAAGCACUCCGCCUGGGGAGUACGGUCGCAAGGCUGAA